UGGGGAAUAUUGCACAAUGGGCGAAAGCCUGAUGCAGCAACGCCGCGUGAGUGAUGAAGGCCUUCGGGUUGUAAAGCUCUGUCUUUUGGGACGAUGAUGACGGUACCAAAGGAGGAAGCCACGGCUAACUACGUGCCAGCAGCCGCGGUAAUACGUAGGUGGCAAGCGUUGUCCGGAUUUACUGGGCGUAAAGGAUGCGUAGGCGGAUUUUUAAGUGAGAUGUGAAAUACCCGGGCUUAACUUGGGUGCUGCAUUUCAAACUGGGAAUCUAGAGUGCGGGAGAGGAGAAUGGAAUUCCUAGUGUAGCGGUGAAAUGCGUAGAGAUUAGGAAGAACACCAGUGGCGAAGGCGAUUCUCUGGACCGUAACUGACGCUGAGGCAUGAAAGCGUGGGUAGCAAACAGGAUUAGAUACCCUGGUAGUCCACGCCGUAAACGAUGAGUACUAGGUGUAGGAGGUAUCGACCCCUUCUGUGCCGCAGUUAACACAAUAAGUACUCCGCCUGGGAAGUACGAUCGCAAGAUUAAAACUCAAAGGAAUUGACGGGGUCAUAGCUGUUUUCC
This 562-nucleotide ribosomal RNA is filed under the name uncultured bacterium. Its description in RNAcentral is "partial 16S ribosomal RNA". It matches the Rfam family "Bacterial small subunit ribosomal RNA", at positions 355 to 938 of the family's 1533-position model. The record is from RNAcentral.